UAAUACAUGCAAGUCGAGCGGACGGAAGGGAGCUUGCUCCCGGAAGUCAGCGGCGGACGGGUGAGUAACACGUGGGUAACCUGCCUGUAAGACUGGGAUAACUCCGGGAAACCGGGGCUAAUACCGGAUAGCUUCUUCCUCCGCAUGGAGGAAGAAUGAAAGGCGGCCUUUGGCUGUCACUUACAGAUGGACCCGCGGCGCAUUAGCUAGUUGGUGGGGUAACGGCUCACCAAGGCGACGAUGCGUAGCCGACCUGAGAGGGUGAUCGGCCACACUGGGACUGAGACACGGCCCAGACUCCUACGGGAGGCAGCAGUAGGGAAUCUUCCGCAAUGGACGUAAGUCUGACGGAGCAACGCCGCGUGAGUGAAGAAGGUUUUCGGAUCGUAAAGCUCUGUUGUCAGGGAAGAACAAGUACCGGAGUCACUGCCGGUACCUUGACGGUACCUGACCAGAAAGCCACGGCUAACUACGUGCCAGCAGCCGCGGUAAUACGUAGGUGGCAAGCGUUGUCCGGAAUUAUUGGGCGUAAAGCGCGCGCAGGCGGCCUUUUAAGUCUGAUGUGAAAGCCCACGGCUCAACCGUGGAGGGUCAUUGGAAACUGGAAGGCUUGAGUGCAGAAGAGGAGAGCGGAAUUCCACGUGUAGCGGUGAAAUGCGUAGAGAUGUGGAGGAACACCAGUGGCGAAGGGGGCUUUCUUUUGUUUUUGUAACUGACGUUGAGGCGCGAAAAGCGUGGGGAACCAACCCAGGAUUAGAUCCCUUGUUAUUCCCCCCCCGGUAAAACGAUGAGUGUUAAGUGUUGGGGGUUUUCCCCCCCUUUAGUGCUGCAGCAAACGCAUUAACCACUCCGCCUGGGGAGUACGCCCCCAAGGUUGAAACUCAAAGGAAUUGACGGGGGCCCCCCCCAAGCGGUGGAGCAUGUGGUUUAUUUGGAAGCAACGGGAAGACCCUUACCAGGUCUUGACAUCUUCUGACACUUUUGGAGACAGAGCUUUCCCCUUCGGGGGACAGAGUGACAGGUGGUGCAUGGUUGUCGUCAGCUCGUGUCGUGAGAUGUUGGGUUAAGUCCCGCAACGAGCGCAACCCUUGUCCUUAGUUGCCAGCAUUCAGUUGGGCACUCUAGGGAGACUGCCGGUGACAAACCGGAGGAAGGUGGGGAUGACGUCAAAUCAUCAUGCCCCUUAUGACCUGGGCUACACACGUGCUACAAUGGAUGGUACAAAGGGCAGCGAAGCCGCGAGGUGAAGCCAAUCCCAUAAAACCAUUCUCAGUUCGGAUUGCAGGCUGCAACUCGCCUGCAUGAAGCCGGAAUCGCUAGUAAUCGCGGAUCAGCAUGCCGCGGUGAAUACGUUCCCGGGCCUUGUACACACCGCCCGUCACACCACGAGAGUUUGUAACACCCGAAGUCGGUGGGGUAACCUUUUGGAGCCAGCCGCCUAAGGUGGGACAGAUGAUUGGGGGAAGUCGUAUCAAG
This 1476-nucleotide ribosomal RNA is filed under the name Bacillus sp. NBK37. RNAcentral's name for it is "16S ribosomal RNA". It matches the Rfam family "Bacterial small subunit ribosomal RNA". Lineage: Bacteria; Bacillati; Bacillota; Bacilli; Caryophanales; Bacillaceae. The record is from RNAcentral.